UGUAGUGUGGCAUCACGGUUUGGGUGUUGGACUACAACUCUGGAGACCAGGGUUCAAUUCCCUGCUGGGCCA
Phrynosoma platyrhinos (Desert horned lizard) is the source of this 72-nucleotide non-coding RNA. The record is from the annotation of a GenBank genome assembly. Lineage: Eukaryota; Metazoa; Chordata; Lepidosauria; Squamata; Phrynosomatidae.